This 484-nucleotide ribosomal RNA is filed under the name uncultured bacterium. Its description in RNAcentral is "partial 16S ribosomal RNA". It matches the Rfam family "Bacterial small subunit ribosomal RNA", at positions 30 to 507 of the family's 1533-position model. The record is from RNAcentral.
AUUGAACGCUGGCGGCAGGCCUAACACAUGCAAGUCGAGCGGAUGAAGGGAGCUUGCUCCUGGAUUCAGCGGCGGACGGGUGAGUAAUGCCUAGGAAUCUGCCUGGUAGUGGGGGAUAACGUCCGGAAACGGGUGCUAAUACCGCAUACGUCCUGAGGGAGAAAGUGGGGGAUCUUCGGACCUCACGCUACCAGAUGAGCCUAGGUCGGAUUAGCUAGUUGGUGGGGUAAAGGCCUACCAAGGCGACGAUCCGUAACUGGUCUGAGAGGAUGAUCAGUCACACUGGAACUGAGACACGGUCCAGACUCCUACGGGAGGCAGCAGUGGGGAAUAUUGGACAAUGGGCGAAAGCCUGAUCCAGCCAUGCCGCGUGUGUGAAGAAGGUCUUCGGAUUGUAAAGCACUUUAAGUUGGGAGGAAGGGCAGUAAGUUAAUACCUUGCUGUUUUGACGUUACCAACAGAAUAAGCACCGGCUAACUUCGUG